This 301-nucleotide ribosomal RNA is filed under the name uncultured bacterium. RNAcentral describes it as "partial 16S ribosomal RNA". It matches the Rfam family "Bacterial small subunit ribosomal RNA", at positions 509 to 807 of the family's 1533-position model. The record is from RNAcentral.
CAGCCGCCACGGUAAUACGUAGGUGGCAAGCGUUGUCCGGAAUUAUUGGGCGUAAAGGGCUCGCAGGCGGUUUCUUAAGUCUGAUGUGAAAGCCCCCGGCUCAACCGGGGAGGGUCAUUGGAAACUGGGAAACUUGAGUGCAGAAGAGGAGAGUGGAAUUCCACGUGUAGCGGUGAAAUGCGUAGAGAUGUGGAGGAACACCAGUGGCGAAGGCGGCUCUCUGGUCUGUAACUGACGCUGAGGCUCGAAAGCGUGGGGAGCGGACAGGAUUAGAUACCCGAGUAGUCCCUGUCUCUUAUAC